UACAGGGGGUGCAAACGUUGCUCGGAAUCAUUGGGCGUAAAGCGCACGUAGGCGGUUCGUUAUGUCGGAUGUGAAAGCCCUUGGCUUAACCGAGGAAGUGCAUCCGAAACUGGCGAGCUAGAGUACGAAAGAGGAUCGCGGAAUUCCCGGUGUAGAGGUGAAAUUCGUAGAUAUCGGGAGGAACACCGGUGGCGAAGGCGGCGAUCUGGGUCGAUACUGACGCUGAGGUGCGAAAAGCGUGGGGGAGCAAACAGGG
RNAcentral lists this ribosomal RNA (256 nucleotides) under uncultured bacterium. RNAcentral's name for it is "partial 16S ribosomal RNA". It matches the Rfam family "Bacterial small subunit ribosomal RNA", at positions 524 to 777 of the family's 1533-position model. The record is from RNAcentral.